AACGCACAUUGCACCCUCCAGCAUUCUGGAGGGUAUGCCUGUUCGAGCGUCAUUUCAACCCUCAAGCAUUGCUUGGUAUUGGGUGUCACCUUUCCUGGUGCAUCUCAAAAGUAGUGGCGGCACCUUUCAGUCUCGAGCAGAGUAAAUUUCUUGCUUGUGGGGCUUAAAUGGAGGCUUGCUUAGAACAUCUAUCAAAAGGUUGACCUCGGAUCAGGUAGGGAUACCCGCUGAACUUAA
Molecule: unclassified non-coding RNA, 237 nt
Filed under: uncultured fungus
Lineage: Eukaryota; Fungi
Description: sequence contains ITS2
Source: RNAcentral